Balaenoptera acutorostrata (minke whale) is the source of this 306-nucleotide long non-coding RNA. RefSeq lists it as uncharacterized. The transcript has 3 exons. The record is from RefSeq and is a predicted model, not a curated record. Lineage: Eukaryota; Metazoa; Chordata; Mammalia; Artiodactyla; Balaenopteridae.
UUUUUUUUCUUUUUUUAACAAAUUUAUUUAUUUAUUUUUGGCUGCGUUGGGUCUUCGUUGCUGCGCGUGGACUUUCUCUAGUUGCGCUUCACGGGCUCAUACCUCUGUGAAGAACAAGGCCCGUGAGCCCACAGGCAGAUUGGGGUACAAAACUGAAUGCCGUUACUUUGGCCAUGGGAGUGAGCCAUGGUGGACAUCCAGCCCAGAUGACCCACCAGUGGCUGCAGCCCCAGUCACUACCUGACUGCAAUUCUAUGAGAGACCCCAAAUGAGAGCCACCCAGCUGAGCCCAAUCAAACCACAGAA